Molecule: ribosomal RNA, 274 nt
Filed under: uncultured bacterium
Lineage: Bacteria
Description: partial 16S ribosomal RNA
Rfam family: Bacterial small subunit ribosomal RNA
Source: RNAcentral
AUACAGAGGGUGCGAGCGUUAAUCGGAAUUACUGGGCGUAAAGCGCGCGUAGGCGGCUUAUUAAGUCAGAUGUGAAAUCCCCGGGCUCAACCUGGGAACUGCAUCUGAUACUGGUAAGCUAGAGUUUGGGAGAGGGAAGUAGAAUUUCAGGUGUAGCGGUGAAAUGCAUAGAGAUCUGAAGGAAUACCAGUGGCGAAGGCGACUUCCUGGCCUAAAACUGACGCUGAGGUGCGAAAGCGUGGGUAGCAAACGGGAGUAGAAACCCCAGUAGUCC